UACAUUUAUAGUACAGAGUAUAAAGAAUCUACUACGUGCCAUUUUAAAAAUUUUAUUUAAAAAGCGUAAGAAUCGAUGCGCAAUCCUCUUAUUAGGCUAAUAUUACAUUUGUCGUACGAUAAAUAUUUUAAGCACAUUGAUUGGUUGCGGGAUAAUAAUUUUUUGAAUCUUUAAAAAUUUUCUAUUCUGCAGCCAAUCAGUGUGCUUAAAAAAUUUGUCGUACGAUAAAUGUAAUAUUAGCCUUAUGCGUGUUUUUGUAGCAACUUCAUGUUGUUCUUUCGCGCGGAAUUGUCGUAUCGUAAAGAAGCAGAGACUUUGAGCUCCGAUAAUAUUUGCACAAAUAAUUAUUGUGAAGAAACCAUGGAUGACUUGGGGAUUUCUACAUAUAUACAUCACAUAUUGUUAAUUGUCACAUCAAUAAUAUAGAAUGUAAAAUACACAGGCGAGGAAAAAGAUAAAUGCUAAUGCGAGC
Long non-coding RNA from Camponotus floridanus (Florida carpenter ant), 472 nucleotides. RefSeq lists it as uncharacterized. The record is from RefSeq and is a predicted model, not a curated record. The transcript is spliced from 3 exons. Lineage: Eukaryota; Metazoa; Arthropoda; Insecta; Hymenoptera; Formicidae.